This is a non-coding RNA of Tetranychus urticae (two-spotted spider mite), 806 nucleotides long. Lineage: Eukaryota; Metazoa; Arthropoda; Arachnida; Trombidiformes; Tetranychidae. The record is from RefSeq and is a predicted model, not a curated record.
AUUUCGUAGACAUUUCUAAGACAAAAAUAAUGCGAUAGUGCAAUUUACUUUUGAUUAUUAAAGAUGUAUUUUAUAAUUUGUUUGAAUUCGUUUUAAUUGUAAAAAGUUUGCAAUCCUGACCUGUCAUCUUUCAUUGUUAUUGCUACCUAUUUUUGUUAAUCAUGUUAAUUUAAUCAUUGAAUCAAACAACUAUUUCAUUAAUCGCAGAUUUCAAUGAAUAAAAAUUUUAACCCAAACAAAAUAGAAAUACAUCAGUCAUUAUACAUGUAUUAUUUAAGAGAGCUGAUGAAGGAUCCCAACUUUGUAUUUCGCCAGAACCAAAGAAGCAAAACACGAUUGCUCCACCAAUGUUUAUCACAGCAGUUAAAAAAAAGAAAUAGUACCAAUUUUGAGCUGUUGUUUCAUUCCCAACGAUCUGAGCUACGCCUUCAUUGGCAGCCAAUGAUGCCAAACUGUAUAAAACUGAUCCGAAUCCACCCAAAGUCCCAGCAAAUGACGGUGCUAUGUCGAGAUGAUUUGCACCAGCGCCAGCAUAACUAAACUUCCCAUUCCUUUGGCAAUUGACAAGAUAUCGGUCUUUACUUUCCAAAGCACAUAUUGAGCGUCAAGGUUUCAGAGUUACUAUACUUACCAAGUACUGUAAAAGACUUCCUUAUUAUCGCUGUAGAGAAGCGAUUAGUUUGGCGCAAUUUAUCAGCAACUGAACUUCCAGCUAUUGGAAAUAGCGUCGAUAACAACCAGUUUGCUUGAGUCACAAGACUUGGGAUGCCUGGGAUAUAUUUAUAUUAGUAGGCUAUUUAUCAACU